UGAGGAAUAUUGGACAAUGGGGGCAACCCUGAUCCAGCCAUGCCGCGUGAAUGAAGAAGGCCUUAGGGUUGUAAAGUUCUUUCAGUUGCGAAGAUAAUGACGGUAACAACAGAAGAAGCUCCGGCUAAAUUCGUGCCAGCAGCCGCGGUAAUACGAAUGGAGCGAGCGUUGUUCGGAAUCACUGGGCGUAAAGCGUGCGCAGGCGGAUUUGCAAGUCAGGAGUGAAAUCCCAGGGCUCAACCCUGGAACUGCUCUUGAAACUGCAAGUCUAGAGUCCCGGAGAGGUAAGGGGAAUUCCGAGUGUAGAGGUGAAAUUCGCAGAUAUUCGGAGGAACACCAGUGGCGUAGGCGCCUUACUGGACGGGUACUGACGCUCAGGCACGAAAGCAUGGGGAGCAAACAGGAUUAGAUACCCCCGUAGUCC
This 424-nucleotide ribosomal RNA is filed under the name uncultured prokaryote. RNAcentral describes it as "bacterial SSU rRNA". It matches the Rfam family "Bacterial small subunit ribosomal RNA", at positions 355 to 796 of the family's 1533-position model. The record is from RNAcentral.